Molecule: ribosomal RNA, 436 nt
Filed under: Breviceps ombelanonga (Angolan rain frog)
Lineage: Eukaryota; Metazoa; Chordata; Amphibia; Anura; Brevicipitidae
Description: partial 16S ribosomal RNA
Rfam family: Bacterial large subunit ribosomal RNA
Source: RNAcentral
UUUAAUGGCCGCGGUACCCUAACCGUGCAAAGGUAGCGUAAUCACUUGUCCACUAAUUAUGGACCAGUAUGAAUGGCACCACGAGGGCUAACCUGUCUCCCUUUUCUAAUCAGUAAAACUGAUCUCCCCGUGAAGAAGCGGGGAUAAACAUAUAAGACGAGAAGACCCCAUGGAGCUUAAAACUAAGAGUCAUCUACUUAACUUACACCACAAAAUAUAAGGAUAUUCUCAAAGUUUUCGGUUGGGGCGACCGCGGAGUACAACAAAACCUCCAUGAUGAACGAACAUAAAAUUCUUACCAUAGAGCUACAUUACAAAGGACCACAAACGUGACAUCCAUUGACCCAAACACUUGAUCAACGAACCUAGUUACCCUGGGGAUAACAGCGCAAUCCAUUUCAAGAGCCCCUAUCGACAAAUGGGUUUACGACCUCGA